CUUUCAAGAACUACAAAUAUGGGCAACAUGUUCGGAAGACGUAGACAAGACACCGUUUUCAACAGUUGACAUUUUUAAAGUGAUCAACAUUAACAUAAAGACAAUCUAAGUAUUCUUAUCAAUAUAUUAGAGUUUAGACCCCUUUGUUUAGAUUUUGUUAUGGCUGAAAAGGGGUAUUUCCUUUGUUGGCUGUGUGGAAACAAAAGUAUUUUAUUUUUGAUUAACCACACAAGACGCACAACAUCAAGCCAGCCGCACAAGCCUGACAAGUCAUCAAAAUCCCUUCAUGCCUGUGUCGCCUGACUCCACAACACUAAUGGAUGAAGACGUCUGGCAGCACUACAGAUUUGUGGUGCAGGGGAUGCAGGGCUCCCGAGAGCUUUCCUGGUCCGAGUACGUGUCCUCUUCGCACUCCUCGCACACCGUGUCAUGGUCAAACUCGCAGCUGUACAGCAUCCCCUGGCCCUCAGGACAUUUUGUGCAGUGCUCACACUGUUGAGAGAUUGUAUUCAAGUAGUAGCUGUAGUUGCAGACACAGGUGGCGUCGUUGGAGUCUGUGCAGGGCGACUUCAUGCGGAGCAGACCUGAGCACAUUGUGCACGGCUGACAUGUCUCUGUGUGACUCAAGCUUUCUGAGAAGGUUUCACCUGAAAGGAGAGGGAAGAAAACAGCCAUGAAAUGUUUUUAUCAGCCAGAAGUCUGACCUUUGUUUCAUCAGACAUCAUUUUGAAAGCAUGUACAAUACUUGAUAUGCACAAUACUUUGACAUGGUUGGUGUCACUCCAGUGUCCAGUGUGGAAUCUCUUUUUCAUUUUCAAUUUAGACAGAAGACUGUGUCAUUUUAAGUGUGUUGAAAAAUGUGAUAUUCAAAUGAUUGUGAUUGCAUAGAUGAAAAGCACAAUCCCAGUGCAAUAUGUUUGCAUUUGACUCCUUUUGACUUUAAAGUGUUCUUCCUUCUACCUGAUUACAGAUCUGGAAAUGAUUUGUCAUGCUUUUAUCUCAACAUCUUGGUAUUAAUAAAUAAUCCUUUAUCCACUAA
Long non-coding RNA from Notothenia coriiceps (black rockcod), 1039 nucleotides. RefSeq lists it as uncharacterized. The record is from RefSeq and is a predicted model, not a curated record. The transcript has 3 exons. Lineage: Eukaryota; Metazoa; Chordata; Actinopteri; Perciformes; Nototheniidae.